This 403-nucleotide ribosomal RNA is filed under the name bacterium. Its description in RNAcentral is "partial 16S ribosomal RNA". It matches the Rfam family "Bacterial small subunit ribosomal RNA", at positions 355 to 776 of the family's 1533-position model. The record is from RNAcentral.
UGGGGAAUAUUGCACAAUGGGGGAAACCCUGAUGCAGCGACGCCGCGUGAACGAAGAAGGUAUUCGUAUCGUAAAGUUCUGUCCUAUGGGAAGAUAAUGACAGUACCAUAGAAGAAAGCUCCGGCUAAAUACGUGCCAGCAGCCGCGGUAAUACGUAUGGAGCGAGCGUUGUCCGGAAUUAUUGGGCGUAAAGGGUACGCAGGCGGUUUAAUAAGUCGAAUGUUAAAGAUCGGGGCUCAACCCCGCAAAGCAUUGGAAACUGAUAAACUUGAGUAGUGGAGAGGAAAGUGGAAUUCCUAGUGUAGUGGUGAAAUACGUAGAUAGUAGGAGGAAUACCAGUAGCGAAGGCGACUUUCUGGACACAAACUGACGCUGAGGUACGAAAGCGUGGGGAGCAAACAGG